This 272-nucleotide ribosomal RNA is filed under the name uncultured bacterium. Its description in RNAcentral is "partial 16S ribosomal RNA". It matches the Rfam family "Bacterial small subunit ribosomal RNA", at positions 793 to 1055 of the family's 1533-position model. The record is from RNAcentral.
GUCCACGCCGUAAACGAUGCGCACUGGACCGGUGCCGCUCUGACGCGGUAUCGGUCGUAGGGAAACCGUUAAGUGCGCCGCCUGGGGGAGUACGGUCGCAAGGCUAAAACUCAAAGGAAUUGACGGGGGGCUCACACAAGCGGUGGAGCAUGUGGCUUAAUUCGAGGCAACGCGAAGAACCUUACCUGGGUUUGACAUGCUUGGAUUAACUCCUGGAAACAGGAGCCACACCCGCAAGGGUGGAACAAGCACAGGUGCUGCAUGGCUGUCGU